RNAcentral lists this ribosomal RNA (270 nucleotides) under Escherichia coli. RNAcentral describes it as "partial 23S ribosomal RNA". It matches the Rfam family "Bacterial large subunit ribosomal RNA", at positions 2673 to 2925 of the family's 2925-position model. RNAcentral also lists the same sequence under 6 other names. The record is from RNAcentral. Lineage: Bacteria; Pseudomonadati; Pseudomonadota; Gammaproteobacteria; Enterobacterales; Enterobacteriaceae.
UGCUCCUAGUACGAGAGGACCGGAGUGGACGCAUCACUGGUGUUCGGGUUGUCAUGCCAAUGGCACUGCCCGGUAGCUAAAUGCGGAAGAGAUAAGUGCUGAAAGCAUCUAAGCACGAAACUUGCCCCGAGAUGAGUUCUCCCUGACUCCUUGAGAGUCCUGAAGGAACGUUGAAGACGACGACGUUGAUAGGCCGGGUGUGUAAGCGCAGCGAUGCGUUGAGCUAACCGGUACUAAUGAACCGUGAGGCUUAACCUUACAACGCCGAAG